AACGAACGCUGGCGGCAUGCCUAACACAUGCAAGUCGAACGAGACCAUCGGGGCUUGUUGCGCACGGGUGCGUCCCGCGACGGAACCUACACUUAGGUUCCGAAUAACUCACCGAAAGGGGUGCUAAGACCGGAUAAUGUCUUCUCCCUAGAGCUUUAUCGCCUUUGGAUGGGCCCGCGUUGGAUUAGCUAGUUGGUACAGCAACUGCCUACUAAGGCUACGAUCCAUGACUGGCCUGAGACGACGAUCAGCCACACUGAGACUGAGACACGGCCCGCACGGAUAGGGCAGGCAGCAGGGAGUACAAUUGGACACUGCGCGAAAGCCGGAUGCAGCAAGGCCGCGUGAGUGAUGAAGGACUUAGGGUGGUAAAUCUCUUUUACCCGUCAUGAUAAUGACUGGAUCGGGAGAAUAAGCUCCGGCUACUUCCGU
RNAcentral lists this ribosomal RNA (432 nucleotides) under uncultured bacterium. RNAcentral's name for it is "partial 16S ribosomal RNA". It matches the Rfam family "Bacterial small subunit ribosomal RNA", at positions 29 to 506 of the family's 1533-position model. The record is from RNAcentral.